Molecule: long non-coding RNA, 1142 nt
Organism: Wyeomyia smithii (pitcher-plant mosquito)
Lineage: Eukaryota; Metazoa; Arthropoda; Insecta; Diptera; Culicidae
Exons: 3
Source: RefSeq, a predicted model, not a curated record
GUGAGCGUUGGUAGCCUUCGCUACGAAGGUUUUAUGGAUAUAUUUUGUAUUUUGUUAUUAUUACGUGUUUUUUCAAAAGAGAAGAAAAUUCAUAUUUAUAUUUAUUUUGGUUAGCAAGAAGAGCAGAUGAAAUGCUAAUAAUGAAAAUUGAAAAGUGUGGAAAGUUGAAGGGAGCAUAGCGUGCCCUAGUCACAAUCUGUCGUCAGAACCCCGUGGCUUUUAGGAAGGAACGAUACUCCAAUCCAACCCACAACGCCAGCAGCACUCCGUGUCUCGGUCCGGUGACGCUCUGUAGGAAAGAGUUGGCGGCAAAGGCCGCAGGAAACGCGUUGCAGGAACGGCAGGAAUAAAUCGCAAAGACGGCGGCGAACAGCUAACCUGAUUGUGGAGAUUAAGCAGAAAAGGUGGGACAGCUGCACUGCCGUGGGCUGGCGUUUUGACGUCCUUUCCCUCCCCGGGGGCGGAAAAUUCUCAUUCCAGACUCCUUCGGCAGCAAGUUCAUCAAGCGAGCACACGAGAUAUUUCACACAUGAGCUAAUAUUUGCCUUGGGCCCAAGAUCAAUAUACUCAUCGAUCGGACCCUCAAUCAGCACACAGAGAGACCGCAGCCGCCGUUCGGAACGACCACUCGUAAAACCAAUCAAGCGUAAACAAAAACUAACUGCACCGGCAUGCAUAGCGGGCCCAGAAUGGACCGUUCCGUUCCGUCCUGCCACGGCUAGCUGGCAGCCUAGCCCCUUGGGUUGGUUACCAGGAUAAAAAGCUCAGUUAUAAAUGGGCAGCAAUUUAUCUGAGCAGCCCCUCUCCCUUUCUCUCGCACUCCUGGAACCACACGGGCCAAAGUCACAGAGUAACGCUGUCGCGCUCAGUGGUUUGGUAUGAAAAUUAAACGUGGCAACGGCGAGGAAAGACAGCCAGUCCGCUGCUGCCACCAGAAGAUCAUGGGUUUUCAAUUGGUUACGAACUGCAAAACGGGAGAGGAAAUUUGUUUGCAAUUGGAAAGUACAAAUGAAGUCUAAUUCGCUAGCAUGGAUCAUUUAUUGCCUGUGGAGAUGCGGUUCUUAUAUGGUUUUAAAACAAUUUGAAAACUUGAGGUGGUAUUUGGAAUGAUUUUUUUGUUUGAAAUAUAGAACAGUGUCAAA